RNAcentral lists this long non-coding RNA (419 nucleotides) under Homo sapiens (human). Its description in RNAcentral is "non-protein coding lnc-SKA2-5:1". The record is from RNAcentral. Lineage: Eukaryota; Metazoa; Chordata; Mammalia; Primates; Hominidae.
GAUUACUUGAGGUCAGGAAUUUGAGGUGCAGUGAGCCGUGAUCGUGCCACUGCACUCCAAUCUGGGCAACAGUCUCUCUCUCUCUCUUAAAAAAAGAGAGACUAAUUUGGGCAAUUGAGAUCUUUUCAGCAUCAAACAUUCAUGUCUAGGAAUGUGGUACUUCUCUCCAUUUAUUCAGGUCAUCUGUUAUAUUCAUAUCCUUUUUUAGAACUCUCAGUUUUUUCCAUAUAAGUUCUAUAUAUGUCUUGUUAAAUUCAUUUCUCAAUGUAUUAUAUCUUAGGUAGCUGUUGUGAGUGGAAUCUCUUUUUCUCUGAUAGUAUUUUCUAAUUGUUACUGACAUAAAAGACAAAAAUAUUGAUUUUUAUGUUUAUUCUGUAUUCAACCAAUGUGGCAAUUUUUUUUUUUUUUUUUUUUUUUUU